Molecule: ribosomal RNA, 254 nt
Filed under: uncultured bacterium
Lineage: Bacteria
Description: partial 16S ribosomal RNA
Rfam family: Bacterial small subunit ribosomal RNA
Source: RNAcentral
UACGAAGGGGGCUAGCGUUGCUCGGAAUGACUGGGCGUAAAGGGCGCGUAGGCGGACGGCUUUGUCGGGCGUGAAAUUCCAGGGCUUAACCUUGGGGGCUGCGUUCGAGACGGGUUGUCUAGAGUUUGGAAGAGGGUCGUGGAAUUCCCAGUGUAGAGGUGAAAUUCGUAGAUAUUGGGAAGAACACCGGUGGCGAAGGCGGCGACCUGGUCCUUGACUGACGCUGAGGCGCGAAAGCGUGGGGAGCAAACAGG